RNAcentral lists this ribosomal RNA (253 nucleotides) under uncultured bacterium. Its description in RNAcentral is "partial 16S ribosomal RNA". It matches the Rfam family "Bacterial small subunit ribosomal RNA", at positions 524 to 776 of the family's 1533-position model. The record is from RNAcentral.
UACAGAGGGUGCAAGCGUUAAUCGGAGUUACUGGGCGUAAAGGGCGCGUAGGCUGAUAUUUAAGUCGGUUGUGAAAUCCCUGGGCUUAACCUAGGAAUUGCAUUCGAUACUGAAUGUCUUGAGUAUGGUAGAGGAAAGUGGAAUUCUCGGUGUAGUGGUAAAAUACGUAGAUAUCGAGAAGAACACCGGUGGCGAAGGCGACUUUCUGGACCAAUACUGACGCUGAGGCGCGAAAGCGUGGGGAGCAAACAGG